AAAUUGCGCUUGCCGUCGACGAUGAACUCGACAGUUCCGGCGGAGAAAUAGCCGACGGCUUUGGCCAAGGCGACGGCCUGUUCGCCCAUGGCCUUACGUGUCGCG
Molecule: unclassified non-coding RNA, 105 nt
Filed under: fungal sp.
Lineage: Eukaryota; Fungi
Description: partial internal transcribed spacer region
Source: RNAcentral